This 478-nucleotide ribosomal RNA is filed under the name uncultured bacterium. RNAcentral describes it as "partial 16S ribosomal RNA". It matches the Rfam family "Bacterial small subunit ribosomal RNA", at positions 28 to 523 of the family's 1533-position model. The record is from RNAcentral.
GACGAACGCUGGCGGCGUGCUUAACACAUGCAAGUCGAACGGUAAGGCCCUUCGGGGUACACGAGUGGCGAACGGGUGAGUAACACGUGGGUGAACUGCCCUGCACUUCGGGAUAAGCCUGGGAAACUGGGCCUAAUACCGGAUAGGACCACUGCCUGCACGGGGGGUGGUGGAAAGCUUUUGCGGGGUUGGAUGGGCCCGCGGCCUAUCAGCUUGUUGGUGGGGUGAUGGCCUACCAAGGCGAAGACGGGUAGCCGGCCUGAGAGGGUGACCGGCCACACUGGGACUGAGAUACGGCCCAGACUCCUACGGGAGGCAGCAGUGGGGAAUAUUGCACAAUGGGCGCAAGCCUGAUGCAGCGACGCCGCGUGAGGGAUGACGGCCUUCGGGUUGUAAACCUCUUUCAGCACCGACGAAGCGCAAGUGACGGUAGGUGCAGAAGAAGGACCGGCCAACUACGUGCCAGCCGCCGCGGUAA